Molecule: ribosomal RNA, 1350 nt
Filed under: uncultured bacterium
Lineage: Bacteria
Description: bacterial SSU rRNA
Rfam family: Bacterial small subunit ribosomal RNA
Source: RNAcentral
GGAUGAACGCUAGCGGGAGGCUUAACACAUGCAAGUCGAGGGGUAAAUGGUAGCAAUACUAUGAGACCGGCGGACGGGUGCGUAACGCGUAUGCAACAUACCUUGUGCAGGGGGAUAGCCCGUGGAAACGCGGAUUAAUAUUCCAUAGUCCAGCUAUAUCGCAUGGUAUAGUUGGUAAAGAUUUAUCGGCACAAGUUUGGCAUGCGUCUGAUUAGCUUGUUGGUAGGGUAACGGCCUACCAAGGCUACGAUCAGUAGGGGUUCUGAGAGGAUUAACCCCCACACUGGUACUGAGACACGGACCAGACUCCUACGGGAGGCAGCAGUGAGGAAUAUUGGUCAAUGGGCGGAAGCCUGAACCAGCCAUCCCGCAUGAAGGAAGACAGCCUUACGGGUUGUAAACUUCUUUUCUGUCAGAAGAAUAAGCUUGUCGAGACGAGUGAUGCCGGUAUGACAGGAAUAAGCAUCGGCUAACUCCGUGCCAGCAGCCGCGGUAAUACGGAGGAUGCAAGCGUUAUCCGGAUUUAUUGGGUUUAAAGGGUGCGCAGGUUGUUUGAUAAGUCAGUGGUGAAAGUCUGUCGCUUAACGGUAGGAUUGCCAUUGAUACUGUUAGACUUGAAUAUGGAUGAGGUAGGCGGAAUGUGUAGUGUAGCGGUGAAAUGCAUAGAUAUUACACAGAACACCGAUUGCGAAGGCAGCUUACUAAUCCAUCAUUGACGCUGAGGCACGAAAGCGUGGGGAUCAAACAGGAUUAGAUACCCUGGUAGUCCACGCCGUAAACGAUGAUCACUCGCUGUUUGCGAUAUACAGUAAGCGGCUAAGCGAAAGCGUUAAGUGAUCCACCUGGGGAGUACGAUCGCAAGGUUGAAACUCAAAGGAAUUGACGGGGGCCCGCACAAGCGGAGGAACAUGUGGUUUAAUUCGAUGAUACGCGAGGAACCUUACCUGGGCUAGAAUGCGAGUGAAUGUGUGUGAAAGCAUGCAGGCCCGCAAGGGACACAAAGCAAGGUGCUGCAUGGCUGUCGUCAGCUCGUGUCGUGAGAUGUUGGGUUAAGUCCCGCAACGAGCGCGACCCCUAUCUUUAGUUGCUAACCCGCAAGGGAGGACUCUAGAGAGACUGCCCCCGUAAGGGGAGAGGAAGGAGGGGAUGACGUCAAGUCAUCAUGGCCUUUAUGUCCAGGACGACACACGUGCUACAAUGGCCGGUACAGAGGGAAGCGAAACAGUGAUGUGGAGCCAAUCCCAGAAAGCCGGUCUCAGUUCGGAUUGGAGUCUGCAACCCGACUCCAUGAAGUUGGAAUCGCUAGUAAUCGCGCAUCAGCCAUGGCGCGGUGAAUACGUUCCCGGACCU